RNAcentral lists this ribosomal RNA (492 nucleotides) under uncultured bacterium. RNAcentral describes it as "partial 16S ribosomal RNA". It matches the Rfam family "Bacterial small subunit ribosomal RNA", at positions 29 to 507 of the family's 1533-position model. The record is from RNAcentral.
AGUGAACGCUGGCGGUAGGCCUAGCACAUGCAAGUCGAACGGCAGCACAGUAAGAGCUUGCUCUUACGGGUGGCGAGUGGCGGACGGGUGAGGAAUACAUCGGAAUCUACUUUUUCGUGGGGGAUAACGUAGGGAAACUUACGCUAAUACCGCAUACGACCUACGGGUGAAAGCAGGGGAUCUUCGGACCUUGCGCGAUUGAAUGAGCCGAUGUCGGAUUAGCUAGUUGGCGGGGUAAAGGCCCACCAAGGCGACGAUCCGUAGCUGGUCUGAGAGGAUGAUCAGCCACACUAGAACUGAGACACGGUCCAGACUCCUACGGGAGGCAGCAGUGGGGAAUAUUGGACAAUGGGCGCAAGCCUGAUCCAGCCAUACCGCGUGGGUGAAGAAGGCCUUCGGGUUGUAAAGCCCUUUUGUUGGGAAAGAAAAGCAGCAGGUUAAUACCCCGCUGUUCUGACGGUACCCAAAGAAUAAGCACCGGCUAACUUCGUG